This 163-nucleotide ribosomal RNA is filed under the name Thanatephorus cucumeris. RNAcentral's name for it is "5.8S ribosomal RNA". It matches the Rfam family "5.8S ribosomal RNA". Rfam says of the family: 5.8S ribosomal RNA (5.8S rRNA) is a component of the large subunit of the eukaryotic ribosome. It is transcribed by RNA polymerase I as part of the 45S precursor that also contains 18S and 28S rRNA. The record is from RNAcentral. Lineage: Eukaryota; Fungi; Basidiomycota; Agaricomycetes; Cantharellales; Ceratobasidiaceae.
ACUAAGUUUCAACAACGGAUCUCUUGGCUCUCGCAUCGAUGAAGAACGCAGCGAAAUGCGAUAAGUAGUGUGAAUUGCAGAAUUCAGUGAAUCAUCGAAUCUUUGAACGCACCUUGCGCUCCUUGGUAUUCCUUGGAGCAUGCCUGUUUGAGUAUCAUGAAAU